This is an RNA transcript of Monopterus albus (swamp eel), 1123 nucleotides long. It is a transcript of the gene named selenoprotein T, 2, with no coding region annotated. The transcript has 6 exons. NCBI's taxonomy places the organism in Eukaryota, Metazoa, Chordata, Actinopteri, Synbranchiformes, Synbranchidae. The record is from RefSeq and is a predicted model, not a curated record.
AGACGUGUAGAGGAUGAUAGUGUUACCGGACAGAUCGGUUCCACUUUAGACAGCCGUAAUGGCGGAGUACAGCCAGGCGAACCUCUUUGCGGCUCUGCUCUUCUUCAUGGCUUUAACGGUCCGGGACAUUUAUCUCGGCAGAUCGAGCCUGCAGCACGGACAUUCGCCGGGUGACAGAGUCGGCCUCUCCCCGGAUUCCCUGCCAGAAGUAGAACCCGGAAAAGUAGCCAAGUCCUCCCUGUACACAGGGCCCGUGCUCAAGUUCCAAUACUGUAUCUCCUGAGGUUACAGUAAAGUGUUCCAGGAGUACUCUCGAGCCAUCAUACAGCUGUACCCGGACAUCCACAUCAAGGGAGAAAACUUCCCCCCAACCCCCUUCAAUAGCUGUAUGGCUAACCUGAUCUCGUACCUGAAGCUCCUCUCCAUCCUUCUGAUCGUCAUGGGUCAGAAUCCCUUCAUCCUCCUUGGCCUUCACACUCCCAGAGCCUGGACCUGGAGUCAGGACAACAAGAUCUUCUCAUGUCUGAUGGCCUUCUUUCUCUGUAACAUGAUGGAGACUCACUUCCUGUCUACUGGAGCCUUUGAGGUCACUCUGAAUGACAUCCCCGUGUGGUCGAAGCUUCAGUCGGGUUAUGUCCCUAACAUCCAGGAGAUCUUUCAGAUCCUUGACAACCACCUGAAGAUGAACCAGGGAGAUCACAUGACCGUCUCCUCCACUUAAAGAUGCUCACGCAGGUGAUUUGAGGCAGGUAAACUGCUACAGCUGGGCCUCAGCCAUGCUGCAUUCAGGUGUCCUGGCUUAGUGGGAUGUUCAGCUGGUGGCGUUUAUGAAGGUCCGGCCCUAAAGCAGACUCUGUGGGGCCCGGCUGGAUGUCCUUCGCCACAAAAUAAGCAAACCCUCUGGUCCGGGUCACAACUCAGCACUACAGUACCACACGUCAGCAGGUGGAGGCAGCUGUGCUCACAGACCGCUUUGGACUCUACUGGACAGAUGUUUUAUUUAUUCAGUAUGAGGUUCAGCAAGGACAAAACUAAACAAUGGUACUACUGUUAUCUUUGUGCUAACAGAAAUAAAAUAUAAUUAAAUAAUUAAAAUCUGGUUUAAAUAAAGAGUUUGCCCUCA